GCUACCAUGCAGUCGAACGAUGAAGCCCAGCUUGCUGGGUGGAUUAGUGGCGAACGGGUGAGUAACACGUGAGUAACCUGCCCUUAACUCUGGGAUAAGCCUGGGAAACUGGGUCUAAUACCGGAUAGGAGCGUCCACCGCAUGGUGGGUGUUGGAAAGAUUUAUCGGUUUUGGAUGGACUCGCGGCCUAUCAGCUUGUUGGUGAGGUAAUGGCUCACCAAGGCGACGACGGGUAGCCGGCCUGAGAGGGUGACCGGCCACACUGGGACUGAGACACGGCCCAGACUCCUACGGGAGGCAGCAGUGGGGAAUAUUGCACAAUGGGCGAAAGCCUGAUGCAGCGACGCCGCGUGAGGGAUGACGGCCUUCGGGUUGUAAACCUCUUUCAGUAGGGAAGAAGCGAAAGUGACGGUACCUGCAGAAGAAGCACCGGCUAACUACGUGCCAGCAGCCGCGGUAAUACGUAGGGUGCGAGCGUUAUCCGGAAUUAUUGGGCGUAAAGAGCUCGUAGGCGGUUUGUCGCGUCUGUCGUGAAAGUCCGGGGCUUAACCCCGGAUCUGCGGUGGGUACGGGCAGACUAGAGUGCAGUAGGGGAGACUGGAAUUCCUGGUGUAGCGGUGGAAUGCGCAGAUAUCAGGAGGAACACCGAUGGCGAAGGCAGGUCUCUGGGCUGUAACUGACGCUGAGGAGCGAAAGCAUGGGGAGCGAACAGGAUUAGAUACCCUGGUAGUCCAUGCCGUAAACGUUGGGCACUAGGUGUGGGGACCAUUCCACGGUUUCCGCGCCGCAGCUAACGCAUUAAGUGCCCCGCCUGGGGAGUACGGCCGCAAGGCUAAAACUCAAAGGAAUUGACGGGGGCCCGCACAAGCGGCGGAGCAUGCGGAUUAAUUCGAUGCAACGCGAAGAACCUUACCAAGGCUUGACAUGUUCUCGAUCGCCGUAGAGAUACGGUUUCCCCUUUGGGGUGGGUUCACAGGUGGUGCAUGGUUGUCGUCAGCUCGUGUCGUGAGAUGUUGGGUUAAGUCCCGCAACGAGCG
This 1037-nucleotide ribosomal RNA is filed under the name Micrococcus endophyticus. RNAcentral's name for it is "bacterial SSU rRNA". It matches the Rfam family "Bacterial small subunit ribosomal RNA", at positions 48 to 1098 of the family's 1533-position model. The record is from RNAcentral. Lineage: Bacteria; Bacillati; Actinomycetota; Actinomycetes; Micrococcales; Micrococcaceae.